AACGAACGCUGGCGGCAGGCCUAACACAUGCAAGUCGAGCGCGGACUUCGGUUCUAGCGGCGGACGGGUGAGUAACGCGUGGGAAUGUGCCCUUCUCUACGGAAUAGCCCCGUGAAACUGGGAGUAAUACCGUAUACGCCCUCUUGGGGAAAGAUUUAUCGGAGAAGGAUCAGCCCGCGUUGGAUUAGGUAGUUGGUGGGGUAAUGGCCUACCAAGCCGACGAUCCAUAGCUGGUUUGAGAGGAUGAUCAGCCACACUGGGACUGAGACACGGCCCAGACUCCUACGGGAGGCAGCAGUGGGGAAUCUUAGACAAUGGGGGCAACCCUGAUCUAGCCAUGCCGCGUGAGUGAUGAAGGCCUUAGGGUUGUAAAGCUCUUUCAGCUGGGAAGAUAAUGACGGUACCAGCAGAAGAAGCCCCGGCUAACUCCGUG
This 433-nucleotide ribosomal RNA is filed under the name uncultured bacterium. RNAcentral's name for it is "partial 16S ribosomal RNA". It matches the Rfam family "Bacterial small subunit ribosomal RNA", at positions 29 to 507 of the family's 1533-position model. The record is from RNAcentral.